Molecule: unclassified non-coding RNA, 318 nt
Filed under: Hevea brasiliensis (rubber tree)
Lineage: Eukaryota; Viridiplantae; Streptophyta; Magnoliopsida; Malpighiales; Euphorbiaceae
Source: RNAcentral
UUUACAUGGAUUAUUGUCAGUUUUGAAAAGGAAAAGGAAAUUUCCAAUUUCGUCCCUAAAUCUAAAAUUUACAAUAGGUUAAAAACCCUUCCAUCUGCUGUGCCAAUUAAUAAUCAAUAUUUCCCACAAAUUGAAGCAUUCAAAAUAAAAUUUCAAUCAAAUGGACCAUUCAAAAUAUUCAUAUGCUUUUUAAGUGGCAAAUAUAUGCUAUCCCAUACUUCAUAUUCUGACGUUGCUUCGCAGAAAACAAGGUUUGAUAAUGGAAAAAGCACCAAAGAAAGCUAGUAGCAAUACCGUAUGUGGAGAUGGAUACAGAUG